GAUGAACGCUGGCGGCGUGCCUAAUACAUGCAAGUUGAGCGAAUGGAUUAAGAGCUUGCUCUUAUGAAGUUAGCGGCGGACGGGUGAGUAACACGUGGGUAACCUGCCCAUAAGACUGGGAUAACUCCGGGAAACCGGGGCUAAUACCGGAUAACAUUUUGAACCGCAUGGUUCGAAAUUGAAAGGCGGCUUCGGCUGUCACUUAUGGAUGGACCCGCGUCGCAUUAGCUAGUUGGUGAGGUAACGGCUCACCAAGGCAACGAUGCGUAGCCGACCUGGGAGGGUGAUCGGCCACACUGGGACUGAGACACGGCCCAGACUCCUACGGGAGGCAGCAGUAGGGAAUCUCCCGCAAUGGACGAAAGUCUGACGGAGCAACGCCGCGUGAGUGAUGAAGGCUUUCGGGUCGUAAAACUCUGUUGUUAGGGAAGAACAAGUGCUAGUUGAAUAAGCUGGCACCUUGACGGUACCUAACCAGAAAGCCACGGCUAACUACGUGCCAGCCGCCGCGGUAA
Molecule: ribosomal RNA, 515 nt
Filed under: uncultured bacterium
Lineage: Bacteria
Description: partial 16S ribosomal RNA
Rfam family: Bacterial small subunit ribosomal RNA
Source: RNAcentral